Molecule: non-coding RNA, 348 nt
Organism: Schizosaccharomyces pombe (fission yeast)
Lineage: Eukaryota; Fungi; Ascomycota; Schizosaccharomycetes; Schizosaccharomycetales; Schizosaccharomycetaceae
Source: the annotation of a GenBank genome assembly
UCGAGUUUUCGGGCGGCAAGUACAUUAACAGCGGCCAAAGCAAACAAGGAUCCAAGGCCAAGCAUAUCAACAAAAAAUAUUUUGUCGUAGAAAGAAGAAAAUUGGGCACCCAUACGCUCAGCAAUUAUAGUAGCAACGAACUUAACGCUUGCCGCUUCUAAGCUUUUCUCUGAAACAAAAGCAAAAAAAGAAGCAACAUUUGAUUCAGAUGCACCGAUGACUAUCUUGGACAACAACUUAACCAAAAAUUUGCGAACUUCCAGCUGGUAUGCUGAAAGAAUCACAAAAGAUGAAAGUACUACCCAAAUAGAAUAAAGAAUCGUCGCAAACCCCAUUACUACAUGGAAU